UACAGAGACUGCAAGCGUUAUUCGGAUUCACUGGGCGUAAAGGGUGCGCAGGCGGCCAAGUGUGUCAGGUGUGAAAUCCCGAGGCUUAACCUCGGAACUGCGCCUGAAACUACUUGGCUAGAGUACUGGAGAGGGUAACGGAAUUCACGGUGUAGCAGUGAAAUGCGUAGAUAUCGUGAGGAACACCAGAGGCGAAGGCGGUUACCUGGAAGAUUCCUGACUCUGAAACACGAAAGCCAGGGGAGCAAACGGG
Molecule: ribosomal RNA, 253 nt
Filed under: uncultured prokaryote
Description: partial 16S ribosomal RNA
Rfam family: Bacterial small subunit ribosomal RNA
Source: RNAcentral